GUCCCAAACCGCAUACAACACUAACAAGGCAAAAGUGUCAAAUUUGAGCGUGACCAAUAAUCGCCAUGGCUACGACUUACAGCGCGUGAGCUAUUCUGGCUCACUUUGAGGUGCUAUAAUGUGUGAUUUGGAACACGAUUUCUAUCAACGAGCCUUUAAAUUACACUUAAGCUAACGCCAGUUAGCUAAUUAGCUCCAGCUAGCUUAUGCUAAUCCUCCCCGUCUGAUAGCGUGUUGGGCUUUAACUCACCAUCAGCUCCAGAGUUUUGUCCUCCAUCUCCGGCUCCAUGUUGUUGUGCCGUUCGACUCUCUGCGAAAAUGGAAACCAGUCAGCAAACAGCAAGCAGGUGUGAAGCCAGAAACAACACAACAACCACCUACACGCCUCUAUAUCAAAAUAAACAGGAUCUGCUACCAUACGGUCGAGCAUGGUGUAGGGGUGCGUGCGUACCGUUUUCUGCUCCGUUGCCCUCAGCCCCAUGUACUCGUAGGAUGUAUCUCAUGGUGUCCAGGUUCUCGUAAACAAUUAGGAUCUCCACAGCUCCCAUCUCCAGGGCCU
Tachysurus fulvidraco (yellow catfish) is the source of this 559-nucleotide long non-coding RNA. RefSeq lists it as uncharacterized. The record is from RefSeq and is a predicted model, not a curated record. The transcript is spliced from 4 exons. Lineage: Eukaryota; Metazoa; Chordata; Actinopteri; Siluriformes; Bagridae.